UGGGGAAUAUUGCGCAAUGGGGGAAACCCUGACGCAGCAACGCCGCGUGAGUGAAGACGUAUCUCGGUAUGUAAAGCUCUAUCAGCGGGGAAGAAGGAAGACGGUACCCGACUAAGAAGCCCCGGCUAACUACGUGCCAGCAGCCGCGGUAAUACGUAGGGGGCGAGCGUUAUCCGGAUUUACUGGGUGUAAAGGGAGCGUAGACGGCGUCGCAAGUCUGAAGUGAAAGCCCGUGGCUCAACCGCGGAACCGCUUUGGAAACUGCGUGGCUGGAGUGCUGGAGAGGUAAGCGGAAUUCCUGGU
RNAcentral lists this ribosomal RNA (303 nucleotides) under uncultured bacterium. RNAcentral's name for it is "bacterial SSU rRNA". It matches the Rfam family "Bacterial small subunit ribosomal RNA", at positions 355 to 674 of the family's 1533-position model. The record is from RNAcentral.